This 1993-nucleotide long non-coding RNA is filed under the name Mus musculus (house mouse). Its description in RNAcentral is "long non-coding RNA chr5:105891316-105893309". The record is from RNAcentral. Lineage: Eukaryota; Metazoa; Chordata; Mammalia; Rodentia; Muridae.
GUAAGUAAGACUAUUGCUCGGGACGCUUCAUCCUAUUAGAACACACUGAUCUGUGGUGACUCUUAGUGUUCACAUAGAAAAGUUAUAGCAUGAGUUAUAGCUGAAAAUAACUGCGAACCCCUCAUGUAGUUAUUAAUCGAUUGUUACUAUUCAAACGUAUGUUUGACUGCUUUGUAUGUAUGUAUGGAUGUAUGUAUGUACGUACGUACAGUAUGCAUGUAGAAGGGCAGACUACAACCUGCAGCACUUACUUCUGUUAUUCCAAGCUCUGUGGGUCCCAGGAAUUGACUUUAGGUCAUCAGGCAUGGUGGUAGGUGCCUUUCCUUGUUCAUUCAUAGUCAGCCCUCAACUGUGCCUUUAAAAUUAAUGUGCACUGGUCAAUUAAUUUUUCUCUGAGCCUUAGUUACCUCUCUUUCUUGAGACAAGGUCUCACUGUAUAGUUCUGGACGGCCUAGAACUUGAUAUAUAGACCAGGCUGGUCUUGAACUCGCAGAGAUUCACUUGUCUGCCUUGUGAGUGAUAAGACUAAGGGCAUGUGCUAUUACUCCCAGCAUCAUGGAUUUUUUAAAAGGCUUUGCAGAUUCCUUUGAUUCGGAUUCCCUUCUUGAUGUUAUAUUUAUUGUUGGAGGAGUGUAUGUUAUACUGUACAGAACUCUCUGUAUCAGGACAAAGGGAAGAACAUUUUCCUAGUCCUUGGCAGUAGAUCAUAUGUUUCUUCUAGAAAAUUCAUUUGUUUUAGUUUUCUGGAGAUGAUAGCUCUUAGAGAUAAUCAUAUUUCUGUUAUUACAGAAUUGGAAAAUUCAAGCCCAUAUAAAGAUGGGAAUAAGAUAAUUUUUACUAGUGCCAAGGGGUGUGACACACCUAGUAAUAAGCUUAAAAAGAAAUGAAAAAUUUACACUUUACAAUUUGCAGUCUUAGUUCAAACAAAGAGGUACUGGCCCAAUGACUGACAUGUAUGGAUCUGUGGGAGAGAACUGAGAAACAGGAAGGGAGCCAUACAUGAUCCACUGGUUUUAACAAGACUGUGGAGACGGACUAUUUCGCGUAGGAGAGAACAGUCUUUGUGCCGAGUGGUUAAACUAGCUGAUUGCUUUAUACAAAUGCUAACCCGAAAGAACUGCUAACCCGAAAGAACUGCUUCUAAGAACAGAAUUAAAACCCUCUUAGAAAGCAUAGGCAAGUAUUCAUGACUUUCUAGUUAGUAAGGAAUUUUUAUACAGGACACCAAAAGCAUGAGCAACAAAUAAACAUAAAAACUACAUUUCAUCAAAGUUAAAAACCUUUGUGCUCAAAUGCCAUCAUUAGUAGAAAGUGAAAAGAAAUUGUGAAUGGUGUAUAGACUUGGGAGCCUGAGGCAGAAGGAUUGUGAAUUUGAAGUCAUAUUGGAUACAUAAGGUUUCUUUUCUUUUCUUUUCUUUUCUUUUCUUUUCUUUUCUUUUCUUUUCUUUUCUUUUCUUCCUCUUUCUUUUCUUUCUUUUUUAAAAAAGAUUUAUUUUAUGUGUAUGAACACACUGUCACUGUCUUUAGACAGUGAAAUGACCAGAAAUGGACAUCUGAUACCAUUACAAAUGAUUGUGAGCCACCAUGUGGUUGCUAGGGUUUGAACUCAUGACUUUCCGAAGAGCAGUCAGUGCUCUUAACUGUUGAGCCAUCUUUCUAGCCCAAGACUUUGUUUCUUUUACUCCUCAUAAAAUGUAAAAAAAUAUUUUUGCCCACUUUGUAUCUAAGAAAGGACUUGUAUCCAGAGUAUAUAAUGAACUUUAACUCACUAACAAAAAGACAUAAAUACCUUAAUAGACAAAAUAUAUUCAAUAUUUCUUCAAAAAGACCUGUAAUUAACCAGUAAGUCCAUGUAAAGCUCACUAGCAGCCACUUGUCAGAUAAGUGCAGACAGUACCAUCUAUGUCAUGUCCUCCACAGCAAGGAGUAUAUAAAAAUGUCUUUAACCAGCCUAGCAUGUCUAUGGAGAACUAUAAAAACAAUUGAUUCAUUG